CUACGGGCGGCUGCAGUGAGGAAUAUUGCACAAUGGGGGGAACCCUGAUGCAGCAACGCCGCGUGGAGGAUGACGCAUUUCGGUGUGUAAACUCCUUUUAUAUGUCAAGAAAAUGACGGUAGCAUAUGAAUAAGCACCGGCUAACUCCGUGCCAGCAGCCGCGGUAAUACGGAGGGUGCAAGCGUUACUCGGAAUCACUGGGCGUAAAGGACGCGUAGGCGGGUUGGAAAGUCAGGUGUGAAAUCCUACAGCUUAACUGUAGAACUGCACUUGAAACUUCUAAUCUAGAGUAUGGGAGGGGGAGAUGGAAUUAGUGGCGUAGGGGUAAAAUCCGUAGAUAUCACUAGGAAUACCUAAAGCGAAGGCGAUCUCCUGGAACAUUACUGACGCUAAGGCGUGGAAGCGUGGGGAGCAAACAGGAUUAGAUACCCCCGUAGUC
RNAcentral lists this ribosomal RNA (439 nucleotides) under uncultured bacterium. RNAcentral describes it as "partial 16S ribosomal RNA". It matches the Rfam family "Bacterial small subunit ribosomal RNA", at positions 339 to 795 of the family's 1533-position model. The record is from RNAcentral.